This 253-nucleotide ribosomal RNA is filed under the name uncultured bacterium. Its description in RNAcentral is "partial 16S ribosomal RNA". It matches the Rfam family "Bacterial small subunit ribosomal RNA", at positions 524 to 776 of the family's 1533-position model. The record is from RNAcentral.
UACGUAGGGCGCAAGCGUUGUCCGGAAUUAUUGGGCGUAAAGAGCUCGUAGGUGGCUUGUCGCGUCUGCCGUGAAAGCCCGUGGCUUAACUACGGGUCUGCGGUGGAUACGGGCAGGCUAGAGGGUGGUAGGGGCAAGCGGAAUUCCUGGUGUAGCGGUGAAAUGCGCAGAUAUCGGGAAGAACACCCGUGGCGAAGGCGGCUCUCUGGGACGGUACUGACGCUGAGACGCGAAAGCGUGGGGAGCGAACAGG